Molecule: ribosomal RNA, 253 nt
Filed under: uncultured bacterium
Lineage: Bacteria
Description: partial 16S ribosomal RNA
Rfam family: Bacterial small subunit ribosomal RNA
Source: RNAcentral
UACGUAGGUGGCAAGCGUUGUCCGGAUUUACUGGGCGUAAAGAGCGCGCAGGCGGUCGUUCAAGUCGCGUGUGAAAGCCCCCGGCUCAACUGGGGAGGGUCACGCGAUACUGAUCGACUCGAAGGCAGGAGAGGGUAGUGGAAUUCCCGGUGUAGUGGUGAAAUGCGUAGAGAUGUGGAGGAACACCGAUGGCGAAGGCAGCCCCCUGGGUCAAAACUGACGCUCAUGCACGAAAGCGUGGGGAGCAAACAGG